RNAcentral lists this ribosomal RNA (766 nucleotides) under uncultured bacterium. RNAcentral's name for it is "bacterial SSU rRNA". It matches the Rfam family "Bacterial small subunit ribosomal RNA", at positions 71 to 817 of the family's 1533-position model. The record is from RNAcentral.
AAGGCCCCUUCGGGGGCCGAGUAGAGUGGCGCACGGGUGAGUAACACGUAGGUAAUCUACCUCUGGGUGGGGAAUAACGACCGGAAACGGUCGCUAAUACCGCAUAAUGCAGCGGCACCACAUGGUGACAGUUGUUAAAGCGGGGGAUCGUAAGACCUCGCGCCUAGAGAUGAGCCUGCGGCGGAUUAGCUAGUUGGCAGGGUAACGGCCUACCAAGGCGACGAUCCGUAGCCGGCCUGAGAGGGCGGACGGCCACACUGGCACUGACAUACGGGCCAGACUCCUACGGGAGGCAGCAGUCGGGAAUUUUGGGCAAUGGGCGAAAGCCUGACCCAGCAACGCCGCGUGAAGGAUGAAGCUUUUCGGAGUGUAAACUUCAUAAGAAUGGGACGAAUAAGGAGGGGUUAACACCCCCUUUGAUGACGGUACCAUUUGUAAGCUCCGGCUAACUCCGUGCCAGCAGCCGCGGUAACACGGGGGGAGCAAGCGUUGUUCGGAUUUACUGGGCGUAAAGGGCGCGUAGGCGGCGCAACAAGUCACUUGUGAAAUCUCCGGGCUUAACCCGGAGCGGCCAAGUGAUACUGUCGUGCUAGAGUGCGGAAGGGGCUACUGGAAUUCUCGGUGUAGCGGUGAAAUGCGUAGAUAUCGAGAGGAACACCUGCGGCGAAGGCGGGUAGCUGGGCCGACACUGACGCUGAGGCGCGAAAAGCAGGGGAGCGAACGGGAUUAGAUACCCCGGUAGUCCUGGCCUUAAACGAUGGAUACU